Molecule: long non-coding RNA, 1863 nt
Organism: Gallus gallus (chicken)
Lineage: Eukaryota; Metazoa; Chordata; Aves; Galliformes; Phasianidae
Source: Ensembl
CACACUCCUGGCAAUGAGCAACAGCUGUAAGCGAGCACUGCUUCUCUGAGACUGAACCUGCAAAAAUGAGCUUGAGCGCAUGCACUAAACGAAGCGAGCUACCAGGUGAUUCCCAUGAAAGAGAUGAAGCCCAACCUGAGCAUAAGGCGAAGUCAAUGAGCUGAGCUCUCAAAGCCCCUCCAGGCUCUGAGGGAUGAGCUUGGCUGGGGGCUGUGGGUGCAUAGGGGCAGCCCCAGUGCUGUGGGAGCACUGCCAGUGCCUUCCUGAAAAAGCAAAGGGAGAAAGCAAACUGGGAGCGGUCAUCUGAAAAGGCAGCCUUCUUCUGCUUGUGUUUUUGUGCCACGCGUGCAUGUUUUACGGGACUGGGCUCUUGCAAGGGGACUCUGGUUGCCUGUGUUGGUUGACCUGGCAAAGAGCAGGAGGAUGAGGUGAGAAGACUGAUGGCCAUCUCCAAAAGCAGGUUGCAUCUCAUGGAAUGGUUUAGGUUGGAAGGGACCUCAAAGAUCACUGAAUUCCAGCCUCACUGCCAUGGCUACGGCUGCCCCCAACAGAUCAAGCUGCCCAGGGCCCCAUUCACCCCAGCCUUGGGUACCCCAGGGAUGAACGUGGCCAUCUCAGUGGGUUGUGGUGCAUCCGUGAUGUCCCAUCGAGGCUGCUCAGCUAUCACCAACCUCUCCUGCAUUGUGGAAGACAUUUUGGCAAAGGGGCUCUGAGCUUAGCUCUGCCAGUCGGCCUUGAGGGCCAUUAACAACCAGCCUCAAUCGGGGUUAUUUAUUCAUUAAUUUGCUGCAAAUGCAGCCCUAAAUGGUGGAAAUCUCCGUACUAAUAGAUGCUCUGGAAGAGAUUUGCAGCCAGGCACGGGUCUUAUCUCUAAUUAUGUGUCUGGCUGAGCUGCAUCUGGCUCCGGGGAUGUCUGGUUGUAUUUGGCUCCUGGAGCUUCUCUUGAAACCCACUGGGACCCCGGGCUGAGAGCAGUGCCAAUUAAUACCCACCACAGGGAGACGCAGCCGUGCGCCGUCUGGCUGUGAGCUGCAGGCGAGGGGGAGCCGUCCCGUGGGGAGCAGCAGCCCCAGGCAUCCGCACAGUGCCACUGGGAUACAGAAAUGGGGUCGGUGGGGCUGGGAAGGAGGCGGCUCUGUGAGAACUGUAGGAGAAAACUGAAAGAAAUGGGGAAGGCACACAAGCAAGCUAGAUUUUGAAAGUGCCUCCUUUACUAAAUGUCAUAGCCAUGUUGUUGCAAUGUUUCCAGAGCGCUUAUUUAUUUAUUUAUUUGUUUAUUUAUUUAUUUAUUCCUGAAAGAGCUAUUUGCAUUUAAAGAGGCUGACUGCAAGAGUGGGGGGGGGGGGAACACAAAAUGCCAUAUGAAAUGAGCAGAGUAACAGUUUUUAAAUGGGAACGCAGCCCUUCCAUCACCCCUCCAGAGGCCGCCAGGUCUCUGCAGCCUGGGUUCAUUGGGGUGAAGGCAGCUGGGUGAAAUCACUCCUAAUUUGCUCUCAUUUUCUCUUCUGCUGACGCGUAUUUUGCUUCUGUUUUGAGACCUGGGAAGCCCUGGUUCACCCCAUCCUACAGGGGUGCUCCCCGGGGCUGGGGGUGCGAGAAGGGUGGCUGGGGACUGGCUGGGGUCAGUGCGUGGCCAGGUGCCACCUGCCAUCCCUCAUCCCACACCGUCGUCCCGAGCAGGGUGUCCCCAUCGCAGGGGCUUUGCUCCCCUCUGCCGUCUCCAUCGCUCUGCAGCUCCGCAUCCUGCUCUCCUGUUGCUCAGAGAUGUGGAGGCAGUUGCUAAGAGACACCGAAACGUCAGUAUCUGGCCCUCAAGGAAAAAAAAAAAAAUAGAGAAAGAGAGAGACAAGGGAGGACGAGGAG